Molecule: non-coding RNA, 1063 nt
Filed under: Pan troglodytes (chimpanzee)
Lineage: Eukaryota; Metazoa; Chordata; Mammalia; Primates; Hominidae
Source: RNAcentral
GUCAGCAGGUCGCCUGGGUCUCUGUCUCAGUGCUCAGCAGGGCGAGGACAGGACAGAACGGGCCCCAUCACAGACUGCGCUUAGAAGGAACUCAGUAAAACAAAGACCAUUUUCUUCUGGAGGCAACUCAAGGAGAUUUCCAGCAUCACUGGUACUCAAUAUUGAAGGAAUGAAAAUACGUGAGGAAUAAAAUAAUGAAGAAAGUGACCUCUACCGCAAGGACACAGGCCCUGAGAGCUGAGACUGUGAAGGGGGCAGGCAAAGAUCCACGCCCAGACAGGCCACCCCUGCUCUCCUGGGAAAGGGGCCGAGAGCCAGAGAGGUCGGGGCAGAGAGACCCUAAGUGCGAGGACCAGGCCAGGGCCUUUACCAGCAAAGACCGGCCCUUCUGCCUGCGCCCUGAGGUCACGGAGAAAGGCAGGGGUGGGGUAUGGUCAUCCUUCCCAAGGUCCUGGAGUCAGGUCUGCUUACCAAGCUACCAUGUGUCCCAUGACAUUCUGGAGGCCUCCAGGCCCAAUGCAGGUCACAUCCACUGUCCUCCCGGCCCUGUCCUGUCCACUGGGUGGCUACCCUCUUCCCACCCUCCAGUAUUGACUGCGUUGUGUGGGAUGGGGAAGACCUCCGGUCCCCUCCACCAAACAAAGCACAAGACAAAGUGCCCGCCAGCGUGAGUGCCGUGAGCACCGUGAACCUUCUCUAUGCCGAGGGGCACACAGCCUUGAGCGUCCACGGGGGAUGGGCCUGUGGGUGCUUUCCCUCUGCCCCAGGGAAGCGGUGGUAAUCACACCUGUGAGAUGCCCACAAUCACGCGUGCAGCCAUCCGUCUCUAGGUGCCCGGGGCCUGGAAGCCCAGGAGCUCCCACAUCCAGGGAGGAGGCACGGAUCAGAUCACAAGCGCCCACCACUGCCAUCUGUGCAUACUGGGAGGGCUGAUGGCAGAGGCUAAGGAACGGGAGAGGCCGGGAAAAGUGCGUGAAGAUACAUACCAAACACACAACGCUCAACUCUCGCAGAGCUUUCUCUAAAUGCAUCUCACUUACCGAAAGAGUACCUGAAAAACAAA